Phalacrocorax carbo (great cormorant) is the source of this 864-nucleotide non-coding RNA. Lineage: Eukaryota; Metazoa; Chordata; Aves; Suliformes; Phalacrocoracidae. The record is from RefSeq and is a predicted model, not a curated record.
CCGGCCCCAACCCCCCCGGCCCCGCCGCGCCCCGCCGCGCCCAUGCGGGUGCCAGGCUGCAGACGCAGACCUCCGAGACCCGGGGAGGGCAGGUAUCAUUUGCACGUGCCUCUUGGUGUCUCCUGGUGGUCGUCAGGGGUCUCUGGAUGAAGGAUAUACUCUUCCUCACUGUCCGCUAGACACUGUAUGAAGAAUGACAUCAGCAUUGCAUACUCAUGUUGGAUGCUAUAAAUUGUGAUGUAUUUCCAACAAAUUGAGAACAUUUUGCCAAAGGAAACUCAGAUGUGUGGUAGAUUGGUCAUGAACUGCACACAGUUGCUGUUUCCUUUUCUUCUUUCACAGCAGAAGGUGUAAGGUGAUUCAUGGACAGAAAAAUCUGAUUUAAAAAAUGGCUGCUAUCUCAUUUUCUCCUGCUAAAUUGUUCAAAAUGUUUUUAAUGAAAUGCUUUUCACCUUGGAAGAAUUAUGGACAGGGACAACAAUUACUGUUUCUAAGCUGGUGUAAUAAAACACCGAUUUUAUUAAUAGUCUAAGGAAAAUACAGAAUACUUAACUAUAGGCCAAAUGGAUGAUAACAACAUGCAAAUGAAAAAGAACUGUCAGGUUAUUUUUUAUCAGUUUUGACAGAAGGCCAAAGUGGAGGUUGUUAUAAUGGGACGCUAUUGCAUAUUCUAUUUGUUACUGGGAUGAAAUCUGGGAUAUUGAAUUUAGUCUUUUGAAGCUAAACGUUUUUUCCUGAAUAUAAACCAGGAACAAUCUUAAAAUACCUCCCAUAGAAAGAGAAAAGAGUUUUAAAGCAAUGUUGUCCUAACCCUGUGUCCUGGUUUCAGCUGGGAUAGAGUUAAAUUUCCUUGUAGUAGCUAGU